Molecule: small RNA, 98 nt
Filed under: Sphingomonas sp. Root710
Lineage: Bacteria; Pseudomonadati; Pseudomonadota; Alphaproteobacteria; Sphingomonadales; Sphingomonadaceae
Description: Repression of heat shock gene expression (ROSE) element
Rfam family: Repression of heat shock gene expression (ROSE) element
About the family: This family represents a 5' UTR cis-regulatory element found in heat shock mRNAs and is known as the ROSE (repression of heat shock gene expression) element. The ROSE element is a negative regulator of heat shock gene expression.
Source: Rfam by way of RNAcentral
CCGGGCGCCGCAAAGGGCCCGGCGGGAACGAGAGAGCGCCGGCUCUUUCCGGCGUUUCUCAUGCUCAGAUUGCUCAGAAGAGGAUUUGGAUAUGAGGA